AUGAACGCUGGCGGCGUGCCUAAUACAUGCAAGUCGAGCGAACAGACGAGGAGCUUGCUCCUCUGACGUUAGCGGCGGACGGGUGAGUAACACGUGGAUAACCUACCUAUAAGACUGGGAUAACUUCGGGAAACCGGAGCUAAUAUCGGAUAAUAUAUUGAACCGCAUGGUUCAAUAGUGAAAGACGGUUUUGCUGUCACUUAUAGAUGGAUCCGCGCCGCAUUAGCUAGUUGGUAAGGUAACGGCUUACCAAGGCAACGAUGCGUAGCCGACCUGAGAGGGUGAUCGGCCACACUGGAACUGAGACACGGUCCAGACUCCUACGGGAGGCAGCAGUAGGGAAUCUUCCGCAAAGGGCGAAAGCCUGACGGAGCAACGCCGCGUGAGUGAUGAAGGUCUUCGGAUCGUAAAACUCUGUUAUUAGGGAAGAACAAAUGUGUAAGUAACUAUGCACGUCUUGACGGUACCUAAUCAGAAAGCCACGGCUAACUACGUG
Molecule: ribosomal RNA, 496 nt
Filed under: uncultured bacterium
Lineage: Bacteria
Description: partial 16S ribosomal RNA
Rfam family: Bacterial small subunit ribosomal RNA
Source: RNAcentral